UACGGGGGGAGCAAGCGUUGUUCGGAUUUACUGGGCGUAAAGGGCGCGUAGGCGGCCAGCACAAGUCAGUUGUGAAAUCUCCGAGCUUAACUCGGAAAGGUCAACUGAUACUGUGCGGCUAGAGUGCGGAAGGGGCAACUGGAAUUCUUGGUGUAGCGGUGAAAUGCGUAGAUAUCAAGAGGAACACCUGCGGCGAAGGCGGGUUGCUGGGCCGACACUGACGCUGAGGCGCGAAAGCUAGGGAAGCAAACAGG
Molecule: ribosomal RNA, 254 nt
Filed under: uncultured bacterium
Lineage: Bacteria
Description: partial 16S ribosomal RNA
Rfam family: Bacterial small subunit ribosomal RNA
Source: RNAcentral